This 372-nucleotide ribosomal RNA is filed under the name uncultured organism. Its description in RNAcentral is "bacterial SSU rRNA". It matches the Rfam family "Bacterial small subunit ribosomal RNA", at positions 526 to 896 of the family's 1533-position model. The record is from RNAcentral.
CGUAGGGGGCAAGCGUUGUCCGGAUUUAUUGGGCGUAAAGCGCGUGUAGGCGGCUAUGCAGGUCCGCUGUGAAAACUCGAGGCUCAACCUCGAGACGUCGGUGGAAACCGCAUGGCUAGAGUCCGGAAGAGGAGAGUGGAAUUCCCGGUGUAGCGGUGAAAUGCGCAGAUAUCGGGAAGUACACCCGUGGCGAAGGCGGCUCUCUGGGACGGUACUGACGCUGAGACGCGAAAGCGUGGGGAGCGAACAGGAUUAGAUACCCUGGUAGUCCACGCCGUAAACGAUGGGUGCUAGGUGUGGGAGGUGUCGACUCCUUCCGUGCCGCAGCUAACGCAUUAAGCACCCCGCCUGGGGAGUACGGCCGCAAGGCUA